This 400-nucleotide ribosomal RNA is filed under the name uncultured bacterium. RNAcentral describes it as "partial 16S ribosomal RNA". It matches the Rfam family "Bacterial small subunit ribosomal RNA", at positions 338 to 755 of the family's 1533-position model. The record is from RNAcentral.
CCUACGGGAGGCAGCAGUGGGGAAUAUUGCACAAUGGGGGAAACCCUGAUGCAGCGACGCCGCGGGAGUGAAGAAGAAGUUCGGUAUGUAAAGCUCUAUCAGCAGGGAAGAAAAUGACGGUACCUGAGUAAGAAGCCCCGGCUAACUACGUGCCAGCAGCCGCGGUAAUACGUAGGGGGCAAGCGUUCUCCGGAUUUACUGGGUGUAAAGGGAGCGUAGACGGCAGCGCAAGUCUGAAGUGAAAUGCCGGGGCUUAACCCCGGAACUGCUUUGGAAACUGUGCAGCUAGAGUGCAGGAGAGGUAAGUGGACUUCCUCGUGUAGCGGUUACAUGCGUAGAUAUUCGGAGGAACCCCAGUGGCGAAGGCGGCUUACUGGACUGUAACUGCCGUUGAGGCUCG